RNAcentral lists this ribosomal RNA (1535 nucleotides) under Streptococcus pneumoniae. RNAcentral describes it as "bacterial SSU rRNA". It matches the Rfam family "Bacterial small subunit ribosomal RNA". The record is from RNAcentral. Lineage: Bacteria; Bacillati; Bacillota; Bacilli; Lactobacillales; Streptococcaceae.
AGAGUUUGAUCCUGGCUCAGGACGAACGCUGGCGGCGUGCCUAAUCCAUGCAAGUAGAACGCUGAAGGAGGAGCUUGCUUCUCUGGAUGAGUUGCGAACGGGUGAGUAACGCGUAGGUAACCUGCCUGGUAGCGGGGGAUAACUAUUGGAAACGAUAGCUAAUACCGCAUAAGAGUGGAUGUUGCAUGACAUUUGCUUAAAAGGUGCACUUGCAUCACUACCAGAUGGACCUGCGUUGUAUUAGCUAGUUGGUGGGGUAACGGCUCACCAAGGCGACGAUACAUAGCCGACCUGAGAGGGUGAUCGGCCACACUGGGACUGAGACACGGCCCAGACUCCUACGGGAGGCAGCAGUAGGGAAUCUUCGGCAAUGGACGGAAGUCUGACCGAGCAACGCCGCGUGAGUGAAGAAGGUUUUCGGAUCGUAAAGCUCUGUUGUAAGAGAAGAAUGAGUGUGAGAGUGGAAAGUUCACACUGUGACGGUAUCUUACCAGAAAGGGACGGCUAACUACGUGCCAGCAGCCGCGGUAAUACGUAGGUCCCGAGCGUUGUCCGGAUUUAUUGGGCGUAAAGCGAGCGCAGGCGGUUAGAUAAGUCUGAAGUUAAAGGCUGUGGCUUAACCAUAGUAGGCUUUGGAAACUGUUUAACUUGAGUGCAAGAGGGGAGAGUGGAAUUCCAUGUGUAGCGGUGAAAUGCGUAGAUAUAUGGAGGAACACCGGUGGCGAAAGCGGCUCUCUGGCUUGUAACUGACGCUGAGGCUCGAAAGCGUGGGGAGCAAACAGGAAUUAGAUACCCUGGUAGUCCACGCUGUAAACGAUGAGUGCUAGGUGUUAGACCCUUUCCGGGGUUUAGUGCCGUAGCUAACGCAUUAAGCACUCCGCCUGGGGAGUACGACCGCAAGGUUGAAACUCAAAGGAAUUGACGGGGGCCCGCACAAGCGGUGGAGCAUGUGGUUUAAUUCGAAGCAACGCGAAGAACCUUACCAGGUCUUGACAUCCCUCUGACCGCUCUAGAGAUAGAGCUUUCCUUCGGGACAGAGGUGACAGGUGGUGCAUGGUUGUCGUCAGCUCGUGUCGUGAGAUGUUGGGUUAAGUCCCGCAACGAGCGCAACCCCUAUUGUUAGUUGCCAUCAUUUAGUUGGGCACUCUAGCGAGACUGCCGGUAAUAAACCGGAGGAAGGUGGGGAUGACGUCAAAUCAUCAUGCCCCUUAUGACCUGGGCUACACACGUGCUACAAUGGCUGGUACAACGAGUCGCAAGCCGGUGACGGCAAGCUAAUCUCUUAAAGCCAGUCUCAGUUCGGAUUGUAGGCUGCAACUCGCCUACAUGAAGUCGGAAUCGCUAGUAAUCGCGGAUCAGCACGCCGCGGUGAAUACGUUCCCGGGCCUUGUACACACCGCCCGUCACACCACGAGAGUUUGUAACACCCGAAGUCGGUGAGGUAACCGUAAGGAGCCAGCCGCCUAAGGUGGGAUAGAUGAUUGGGGUGAAGUCGUAACAAGGUAGCCGUAUCGGAAGGUGCGGCUGGAUCACCU